AUGCUCUCUCAGGUCAUCAUCGUUGGUCAAGCUUCUACCGCCGGUACAAAGGCUCUCUCUGCUCAGUUGCCGUCACCAUGCAGGGAUGCUCAUCUCGAUUUUGGUGAAACUGCACAAAAUGAUCCGAUGGUCAAAAGGUUGCAAACUUCAUUUAUUAGGAAGCUCGAACGUUGCCAGCAAAUUGAAGCCUGGUCAGGGUUCACGGUUCAUGGGCUAGGGACUGCAUGGAUCGUUUUUUUCUUUAGCUGCCUCUGUUCCAAAAUAAGUGUCAACUUUAGUAGUAGUACAACUUUGUACUAA
This 300-nucleotide ribosomal RNA is filed under the name Triticum aestivum (bread wheat). RNAcentral's name for it is "partial small subunit ribosomal RNA". Lineage: Eukaryota; Viridiplantae; Streptophyta; Magnoliopsida; Poales; Poaceae. The record is from RNAcentral.